Molecule: ribosomal RNA, 222 nt
Filed under: uncultured bacterium
Lineage: Bacteria
Description: partial 16S ribosomal RNA
Rfam family: Bacterial small subunit ribosomal RNA
Source: RNAcentral
UAACGUCUCAGUUCGGACUGUGGUCUGCAACCCGACCACACGAAGCUGGAAUCGCUAGUAAUUGCGAAUCAGAAUGUCGCGGUGAAUACGUUCCCGGGUCUUGUACACACCGCCCGUCACACCAUGGGAGUCAGUAACGCCCGAAGUCAGUGACCCAACCGUAACUGGAGGGAGCUGCCGAAGGCGGGACCGAUAACUGGGGUGAAGUCGUAACAAGGUAAC